GACGAACGCUGGCGGCGUGCCUAAUACAUGCAAGUGGGACGCAAGGGAACACACUGUGCUUGCACACCGUGUUUUCUUGAGUCGCGAACGGGUGAGUAACGCGUAGGUAACCUGCCUAUUAGCGGGGGAUAACUAUUGGAAACGAUAGCUAAUACCGCAUAAUAUUAAUUAUUGCAUGAUAAUUGAUUGAAAGAUGCAAGCGCAUCACUAGUAGAUGGACCUGCGUUGUAUUAGCUAGUUGGUAAGGUAAGAGCUUACCAAGGCGACGAUACAUAGCCGACCUGAGAGGGUGAUCGGCCACACUGGGACUGAGACACGGCCCAGACUCCUACGGGAGGCAGCAGUAGGGAAUCUUCGGCAAUGGACGAAAGUCUGACCGAGCAACGCCGCGUGAGUGAAGAAGGUUUUCGGAUCGUAAAGCUCUGUUGUAAGUCAAGAACGUGUGUGAGAGUGGAAAGUUCACACAGUGACGGUAGCUUACCAGAAAGGGACGGCUAACUACGUG
This 505-nucleotide ribosomal RNA is filed under the name uncultured bacterium. RNAcentral describes it as "partial 16S ribosomal RNA". It matches the Rfam family "Bacterial small subunit ribosomal RNA", at positions 28 to 507 of the family's 1533-position model. The record is from RNAcentral.